GAUUAAGUUAUUAAGGGCGCACGGUGGAUGCCUUGGCACUAGAAGCCGAUGAAGGACGUUACUAACGACGAUAUGCUUUGGGGAGCUGUAAGUAAGCUUUGAUCCAGAGAUUUCCGAAUGGGGAAACCCAGCAUGAGUUAUGUCAUGUUAUCGAUAUGUGAAUACAUAGCAUAUCAGAAGGCACACCCGGAGAACUGAAACAUCUUAGUACCCGGAGGAAGAGAAAGAAAAUUCGAUUCCCUUAGUAGCGGCGAGCGAAACGGGAAGAGCCCAAACCAACAAGCUUGCUUGUUGGGGUUGUAGGACACUCUAUACGGAGUUACAAAGGACGACAUUAGACGAAUCAUCUGGAAAGAUGAAUCAAAGAAGGUAAUAAUCCUGUAGUCGAAAAUGUUGUCUCUCUUGAGUGAAUCCUGAGUACGACGGAGCACGUGAAAUUCCGUCGGAAUCUGGGAGGACCAUCUCCUAAGGCUAAAUACUCUCUAGUGACCGAUAGUGAACCAGUACCGUGAGGGAAAGGUGAAAAGCACCCCGGAAGGGGAGUGAAAUAGAACCUGAAACCGUGUGCUUACAAGUAGUCAGAGCCCGUUAAUGGGUGAUGGCGUGCCUUUUGUAGAAUGAACCGGCGAGUUACGAUUUGAUGCAAGGUUAAGCAGUAAAUGUGGAGCCGUAGCGAAAGCGAGUCUGAAUAGGGCGUUUAGUAUUUGGUCGUAGACCCGAAACCAGGUGAUCUACCCUUGGUCAGGUUGAAGUUCAGGUAACACUGAAUGGAGGACCGAACCGACUUACGUUGAAAAGUGAGCGGAUGAACUGAGGGUAGCGGAGAAAUUCCAAUCGAACCUGGAGAUAGCUGGUUCUCUCCGAAAUAGCUUUAGGGCUAGCCUCAAGUGAUGAUUAUUGGAGGUAGAGCACUGUUUGGAUGAGGGGCCCCUCUCGGGUUACCGAAUUCAGACAAACUCCGAAUGCCAAUUAAUUUAACUUGGGAGUCAGAACAUGGGUGAUAAGGUCCGUGUUCGAAAGGGAAACAGCCCAGAC
This 1035-nucleotide ribosomal RNA is filed under the name Staphylococcus aureus. RNAcentral's name for it is "partial 23S ribosomal RNA". It matches the Rfam family "Bacterial large subunit ribosomal RNA", at positions 1 to 1032 of the family's 2925-position model. Lineage: Bacteria; Bacillati; Bacillota; Bacilli; Caryophanales; Staphylococcaceae. The record is from RNAcentral.